GCGCCAGGAAACCGACAAACCCCUCCGCAAGAGUUUUGGGAGCGAGGAGGGGUGGGAGGAAUAAAUAAGAAGGAGUUGUGCACCAGGAAGUCAAAAUGAGUAACACCUAACAGAGUGACGAAGCAGAAUUUCCAGAGUACAGCUGUGAGAAGCAUCAACACCAGUAACUUGAAGAAUCAUGUAUUAUUUGUUUUUUUUUUUCCUAUUCUGGCUAGUCAGUGAUUAUGAAUGAGUAACAAGAAGGCUGAUUUGCGUGAGAAAUACCCUUAGGAUAAUGCAGCAUUUUGUUUCACAAGUUUUUAGGUUCAAAAAUCCUGGUAAAGUUGUUUUCCAUAGCUUUCCACUGUCCUGCACCUCUGAAUUCCUGACACUGCAAAGCUGUGGAAAUGUGAAAAUGUCACAAAUGAGACAGUUCUUCAUGGGCUUUACCUAGACAGAAGUGGUAAAACGUGAUAAUCUUUCAAUAUUUAUCAUGCACAUUAUAAAUAAUUUUAUAAGAUUGUGUCUUUCAGGUAGGGUGACAGAUGAGGCCUCCUCAGUUGAAUAAUUUGCCCCUGGCAUGUGCUCGAACACAGACAAACAGGAUGUUUUAUCCCCAAUUUAUGGAUAGAAAAAUUGAGGCAAGGAAGUGAAGGCAUUUAUUUUCUAAGUGUAGAAGUGCUCAUUUGUAAGCAGGCAAUUUAGGCUUGAACUUUUUCCCCCCCUUUUUUUUUGACGAAAAGGACCGUGUAUAUACAGUUCCCAUUGAAACUACACUUGAGGCACCCAAGCAGAAAGACUUUGGCCAUACUCUUUUGGGGUCCUGCAGCCCUAAUCCCAUGUUCUAAUUGGCCAGUAAUCUGUGGACAGAUAUUGUAACAGUUCCUUUAGAAUAUUUUUCUACUUCUCACUCAUUUGCAUACUAAUGGCAUAAAAAUAGGCACUUCCUGCCAGUAAUUAGUUGGAGCCCAGAAUUUAAAGAAAGAAAAACACCACAGCAUUAUGGUAGAUGGAUGGUACUGAGGAAGCUGCAAAAAAGAGUCACUUCUCUGGUGCUCAGAAAGUGCCUUUAAUUUAGAGUUCAAGGCUGGCAACUCUGUUACCUCUGUGUGACAGGGAUUAACUGUUUGCGUGGCCUAAUAACUUUGCUUCUAAUGAGCCCGUCUAACUUUUUUCAUGGCAAAUCACUCAACCUGUCCUGCACCCAGGCUCGCUGCUGGGAAACGUGUUUUUCUCUUUUUUGCCUUUUUUUUUUUUUGCCUUUCAUAGGAUCAUGGAACAGUUUGGGUCAUAAAGGACGUUUAAGAUCAACCAAGUAACUUCAGUGAGACGAAGUACACGGCAACUGAUGAGCACGGAGCAUCUGUGGCAAAGGAAAAAAACACCGUCUUCAAAUUUUGAGGAGCAAACACGACCCUUUCUUUUUCUACUGUUUUCCACCCACAUUCAGUUAGUGUGAGAGAAGAAAGAAAAUCUAAAAAAAAAAAAAAAAAGCAGAAAUAUUUUCUUUGCAGGGAAGGACCGAAGAAUGUAUUGUUCUCUCAUUCACAAGCAAGUGCUUUCAUCACCUCUGCUUUCAUUUUGCUCUACAUCAUAAGUGACAGCGAGUUUUCUGUAUUUUGCUGGUAUAACUUAGAAGGGGUCAUGAUUCUAAAAGUUCUCCUGCAGAACUGAGUCUUCUUUUUGGAUGUAUGCAAAUUCUACAGCACUUAUGCCACUUGUACUUUGCAGAUAGGUAUAAGCAUAUGCAAAAAUGGAGAUUAUAUGUGUACAUGCAAGUUCUCAGAAUUAAUCAGCCAAGAAUGUACAAAAACUACAAAUGCUUUGCUGAAAUUUGGCUCAAAAUAGAUUUAUGAAUUAGCCUGCUAUAGCAGCUUUCACUCAAGGUUGCUAAAUACACUCCAUUUUUAUAAAUACUUAAUAACUUAAAAGAUUUGCAUUAUGAUGGGGCUUGGAGCAACCUGAUCUAGUGGAAGGUGUCUCUUCUCAUGGCAGUAGCAUUGAAAGAAGAUGGUAUUUAAGCUUCCUUUUAACUGAAACUAUUCUAUGAUUCUAUGAUAAUACUAUUGCACCAAAAAUAAUUUUAACAGUAUAUCCCAGUCUUGGGAGGGCCUGAUGGUACUUCUAUCUGUUCAAAAUUGCUGUAGUGGUGUUUUAUGGGUAUACAUUGCUGUCAGCCUGGAGCCCUACCAGGAUUAGAUCUUAAUCCUCAAAGAUAUGUAAGUGCUACCACCUCCUUUUUAGAGAUUGAAAACAGGAAACUGCAUGGGUUAAUAACCAAGGAAAUAAUUAAAAUUUAGGCUCCAAACUUGUCGAGCACAGUCACAAACCGUUCUUGGAGUCAUCUUCAUAUUAGUAGUUGAUGUAAAUAUUUUUGAAGACAAAUCAAAGCCCUGGACCUGCCUGAGUCCUGUGUUUCAGCUUAUGGCCAGGGUUACAGAAGAGAUCCCUGAAACACAUCUGAUUGCUGAUUACAGAUCUGAUAACUGAUUACUUCUGUUAAUAUGAACUGAAGCAAAGGGUCCUUGAACAUUUCUCACAAUUCAGCAAGCAAAAAAAAAAAGCAAUGUUUUACUUCAGUCUACCUUUUACUAGAGUUAAGUACAAUAGGAUGUGAUUAUUUUAGGAACAUUAAAAAUAUCUACUAUCUUCCUCCCAUGCUAGGUAGAAUAGUAGUCUGAAGUAGUUUUGCUUUGUAAUUUUCUAAAACGAAGAAUUCUGACUUAACCAAACCUCUUCAGAAGGAAGCUGGCUGAUAUUAUCUUACUUCCCUCUUUUCUUAUUGUGGAAUUGUUGAGAGAAUGCCAGUUGUUGCUACUUGUCAUCACAACUUUCUAGUCCAUAUUAUUGCUCGUUAGAGGCAAUAAAUGUUAAAUACCAGACUACUUAAAACUGACCAGUGUGCAGAAUUUGAGUGCAUAGGUAAUAAA
This is a long non-coding RNA of Oenanthe melanoleuca, 2909 nucleotides long. RefSeq lists it as uncharacterized. The record is from RefSeq and is a predicted model, not a curated record. The transcript is spliced from 3 exons. NCBI's taxonomy places the organism in Eukaryota, Metazoa, Chordata, Aves, Passeriformes, Muscicapidae.